This 253-nucleotide ribosomal RNA is filed under the name uncultured bacterium. RNAcentral's name for it is "partial 16S ribosomal RNA". It matches the Rfam family "Bacterial small subunit ribosomal RNA", at positions 524 to 776 of the family's 1533-position model. The record is from RNAcentral.
UACGAGGGGGGCAAGCGUUGUUCGGAAUUACUGGGCGUAAAGGGCUCGUAGGCGGCCAACUAAGUCGGACGUGAAAUCCCCAGGCUCAACCUGGGAACUGCGUCCGAUACUGGAUGGCUUGAAUUCGGGAGAGGGAUGCAGAAUUCCAGGUGUAGCGGUGAAAUGCGUAGAUAUCUGGAGGAAUACCGGUGGCGAAGGCGGCAUCCUGGACCGACAUUGACGCUGAUGAGCGAAAGCCAGGGGAGCAAACGGG